RNAcentral lists this ribosomal RNA (497 nucleotides) under uncultured bacterium. RNAcentral's name for it is "partial 16S ribosomal RNA". It matches the Rfam family "Bacterial small subunit ribosomal RNA", at positions 28 to 507 of the family's 1533-position model. The record is from RNAcentral.
GAUGAACGCUGGCGGCGUGCCUAAUACAUGCAAGUCGAGCGAACAGACGAGGAGCUUGCUCCUCUGACGUUAGCGGCGGACGGGUGAGUAACACGUGGAUAACCUCCCUAUAAUACUGGGAUAACUUCGGGAAACCGGAGCUAAUACCGGAUAAUAUAUUGAACCGCAUGGUUCAAUAGUGAAAGACGGUUUUGCUGUCACUUAUAGAUGGAUCCGCGCCGCUUUAGCUAGUUGGUACGGUAACGGCUUACCAAGGCAACGAUGCGUAGCCGACCUGAGAGGGGGGUCGGCCACAUUGGAACUGGAACACGGUCAAGAGUCCUAAGGGAGGCAGCAGUAGGGAAUCUUCCGCAAUGGGCGAAAGCCUGACGGAGCAACGCCGCGUGAGUGAUGAAGGUCUUCGGAGCGUAAAACUCUGUUAUUAGGGAAGAACAAAUGUGUAAGUAACUAUGCACGUCUUGACGGUACCUAAUCAGAAAGCCACGGCUAACUACGUG